ACCAAUUCUGGGGGAUAUUUAGUUCCUCUUGGUAUAAUGGCUCGGACGCAAUAUACACGAAGUGGUCAUCCUGAUUGAUGGUUUAAUUAUAAUACCAUUCGGUCUUGGAAACGCCACCAACAUUG
Non-coding RNA from Glycine max (soybean), 125 nucleotides. The record is from Rfam. NCBI's taxonomy places the organism in Eukaryota, Viridiplantae, Streptophyta, Magnoliopsida, Fabales, Fabaceae.